RNAcentral lists this long non-coding RNA (2201 nucleotides) under Homo sapiens (human). RNAcentral's name for it is "HSALNT0321995". Lineage: Eukaryota; Metazoa; Chordata; Mammalia; Primates; Hominidae. The record is from RNAcentral.
UCCACUUUGUAGCAAGUAAAAUUAUUUUUGAGUUGUCAGAAUAAAUAAAUAUAGCAGUUUGAGUGAUCUCUCCCAACUAGAAUCUAACCUGAAGAAAUUUAACCUAAGACAAAAGAAAACAUAUUUUUUGGCACGUAUAAUAGGAAAGAAUUACCUAAUACACAUAAAAUACGGCCUUACUCAGCCAGUUUAAGUAGGAUGAAUACGUGUGAUACGAAGGGCAUUUGGUGAGUGAGAAUCUGAAGUUGUGGGGAAGUAUCUUGAGAAGAGUGAGAGUAGGGACAGCCAGAACAGGAAGCCAGUCUAACUGCACUCUGAUGACACUGGCUUAUGAUGAACUGGAUUGAUUGCACAGCAGAUAGAAACUACUAUGUAACUGCCCAGGGUGAAGCAAGGAUUCAUCUCACAUUGAGGAAAUCUAUUUCCACCCAUGGCUCUCAGAAGCUGGUCUUCUGCUUGCUGUUGAGCCCAGAAGAUACCUUCAAAUUUUCAGGAAAGAAGAGAUGACUGGGAAAGUUUCCAGAAUGGUGGUUUUUGUAACAUCUGUAGCCUCAGAACUUAAGAAGAGCAAGCAUAAAAUGUGUUUUUGCAAAUGUUUUUCAUGGAUUUAAGACCUAAGCUGUUUAACAGAUUGUCUUGCUUAAGAAAUAUGACUUGUUUUAGCUGACAAGAUGGAUUUUAUGAACUGAUUGAUCCCAGCUGCCAAUUGUCAAAGCCAGAGGAUGUUCCAAAUUGGCAGUCCCCAAAGACCUGGAGUGGAUUGAUUUAAGGUGGGGAAAGGAAGAUUUGGAGGUGGAGAAAAUAGAGUUUUAUAAAACUAAUAUGAUUCUGAAAGUAUUUGAAACACAAAUAUCCAUUAGAACACACAAAAAGUUAAAAUAGUUCAAGCUUCAUUCUACUUUGUGAGCUGUUCUAAUACCUUCUAAGGCUGUAGGUGCCCUCUUCACCUUUUGUUUGCUUCUCAUUGGACUUUUAAUAGUAAAUAGCACAAAGGAUAGAGAUAUAUAUCCAAGAUUUUAUGUAUGUAUAAAAUCUUCACAGCUUCAAAGUUUGAAUUAUGUACUUUCUGAAGAAGGAACUGUUUCGAGUUCAUGAAAUUAUUCUCUGUAUUUUGACAAAUUACAAGCAUCUACAUUUUAAGAAAGACAUGGUGAGGCCUUUUGCUUGGAUAGAUUCUUGAGAUGGUAAAUGAGGCAGCUGUUUGAAAUUCAAUUUUUAAAUUUUAUUCUGAUAUCUAAGUCCAUCUUUGAGCACAUUAUUGAUAUUAACAAUGCUAAUAAUGCUGUUAAUAAUACCACCUAUUGGCUAUGCAACUUUAGCUCUUUGUGCCUUACAUCCCAUGUUGGUACUUACCUCAUGGACUUGUAAAGAUAAAAUGAGUUAACCCAGGCAAAGUGCUUAGAAUAAUGCUUGUUUCAUAAUUAAUGCUUUAAAAGUGUUAUUACAAUGACAAAUCAUAACAGUGUGGGGGUAAUGCUAUAAAUAUUGCUGAUCAAGUACCUAAUAAGCUUCUCCAUUAGCUGCUAAGGUGUAGGUUAGCCAAAAACAUCAUUUGCUGUUGUUCAGAGGUUCACAUGCCUAGUCUUUUAAACAAUGUUUAGGAGAGAUCAUCUAUGAUGGGUCAAAUUGUAUGAUGAGAUUACAAAUGUAUAGUUUAUGCGUAUUGAUAUUUCCACUUGCAAGUGGGUUUUGUAGUUGAAGUUGCCAUGAUACUGGGUUUCAUUCAGGCACUGAAUUUAUGAGAUGAAACUCUCAUGAUAGCAUAAGCUUCCAAAGCACCAAUUAGGCAACUAAUUAUUUGGAUUGGUGAUAUCUUUUUUAUUUGCCUUCUUAUUGCUUAAAGGUAGUGACCAUCUCUCUUAAUUAAUUUACAUGGCCUCAUUGGAAGAAGAGUCAAGUAAAAACUUUUGACAAUGAACUAGGUUAACAAUGAGGGGCAUUGUCAGCACUGCUAAGCUAGAUACUGUAAGUUCUAAAGGGAAAAUACAAAAUGACAGCUGACUCUCCGUCUUCUUUCACUUUCCUCAAAGAAAAGUUUCAGUGAAGGGAAAAUCUUAUGAAAUAUAUUGGACAAUAAAUAUUUUAAGGAACCAAGGCAUCUGGAGACCCACUUCCCAGAAGAAAGAAAGUAUCUUGUAUUAAGUGAGAUGUAUCAUUAUGUGAGUCAAUUAAUAAAAUAAAUUAAUUAUGGACUAUUAAAA